Molecule: ribosomal RNA, 254 nt
Filed under: uncultured bacterium
Lineage: Bacteria
Description: partial 16S ribosomal RNA
Rfam family: Bacterial small subunit ribosomal RNA
Source: RNAcentral
GACGAACCGUGCGACCGUUAUUCGGAAUCACUGGGCUUAAAGCGCGUGUAGGCGGAUGAGCACGUCUGUCGCUGAAAUCCCCCGGCUCAACCGGGGAACGGGCGCGGAUACGGCUCGUCUCGAGGGGCGUAGGGGGACCUGGAACUUCCGGUGGAGCGGUGAAAUGCGUUGAGAUCGGAAGGAACGCCCGUGGCGAAAGCGAGGUCCUGGACGCCUACUGACGCUGAGACGCGAAAGCCAGGGGAGCGAACGGG